Molecule: ribosomal RNA, 953 nt
Filed under: Vibrio sp.
Lineage: Bacteria; Pseudomonadati; Pseudomonadota; Gammaproteobacteria; Vibrionales; Vibrionaceae
Description: bacterial SSU rRNA
Rfam family: Bacterial small subunit ribosomal RNA
Source: RNAcentral
UCGGGGGACGAUAACGGCGUCGAGCGGCGGACGGGUGAGUAAUGCCUAGGAAAUUGCCCUGAUGUGGGGGAUAACCAUUGGAAACGAUGGCUAAUACCGCAUGAUGCCUACGGGCCAAAGAGGGGGACCUUCGGGCCUCUCGCGUCAGGAUAUGCCUAGGUGGGAUUAGCUAGUUGGUGAGGUAAGGGCUCACCAAGGCGACGAUCCCUAGCUGGUCUGAGAGGAUGAUCAGCCACACUGGAACUGAGACACGGUCCAGACUCCUACGGGAGGCAGCAGUGGGGAAUAUUGCACAAUGGGCGCAAGCCUGAUGCAGCCAUGCCGCGUGUGUGAAGAAGGCCUUCGGGUUGUAAAGCACUUUCAGUCGUGAGGAAGGUAGUGUAGUUAAUAGCUGCAUUAUUUGACGUUAGCGACAGAAGAAGCACCGGCUAACUCCGUGCCAGCAGCCGCGGUAAUACGGAGGGUGCGAGCGUUAAUCGGAAUUACUGGGCGUAAAGCGCAUGCAGGUGGUUUGUUAAGUCAGAUGUGAAAGCCCGGGGCUCAACCUCGGAAUUGCAUUUGAAACUGGCAGACUAGAGUACUGUAGAGGGGGGUAGAAUUUCAGGUGUAGCGGUGAAAUGCGUAGAGAUCUGAAGGAAUACCGGUGGCGAAGGCGGCCCCCUGGACAGAUACUGACACUCAGAUGCGAAAGCGUGGGGAGCAAACAGGAUUAGAUACCCUGGUAGUCCACGCCGUAAACGAUGUCUACUUGGAGGUUGUGGCCUUGAGCCGUGGCUUUCGGAGCUAACGCGUUAAGUAGACCGCCUGGGGAGUACGGUCGCAAGAUUAAAACUCAAAUGAAUUGACGGGGGCCCGCACAAGCGGUGGAGCAUGUGGUUUAAUUCGAUGCAACGCGAAGAACCUUACCUACUCUUGACAUCCAGAGAACUUUCCAGAGAUGGAUUGGUGCCUUC